GAUGAACGCUAGCGAUAGGCCUAACACAUGCAAGUCGAGGGGCAGCACAUGAGGUAGCAAUACCGAUGGUGGCGACCGGCGCACGGGUGAGUAACACGUAUGCAACCUGCCUUCAACAAGGGCAUAACCCGUUGAAAGACGGACUAAUACCCUAUAACACAGGGGUCCCGCAUGGGAAUAUUUGUUAAAGGACAACCGGUUGAAGAUGGGCAUGCGUUCCAUUAGCUAGUUGGCGGGGUAACGGCCCACCAAGGCAACGAUGGAUAGGGGAACUGAGAGGUUUAUCCCCCACACUGGUACUGAGACACGGACCAGACUCCUACGGGAGGCAGCAGUGAGGAAUAUUGGUCAAUGGACGCAAGUCUGAACCAGCCACGUCGCGUGAAGGAAGACGGCCCUACGGGUUGUAAACUUCUUUUAUACGGGAAUAAAGUGCCCCACGCGUGGGGUUUUGCAUGUACCGUAUGAAUAAGGAUCGGCUAACUCCGUG
RNAcentral lists this ribosomal RNA (490 nucleotides) under uncultured bacterium. Its description in RNAcentral is "bacterial SSU rRNA". It matches the Rfam family "Bacterial small subunit ribosomal RNA", at positions 28 to 507 of the family's 1533-position model. The record is from RNAcentral.